This 1120-nucleotide long non-coding RNA is filed under the name Phasianus colchicus (ring-necked pheasant). Its description in RNAcentral is "lncRNA (ENSPCLG00000018169.1)". Lineage: Eukaryota; Metazoa; Chordata; Aves; Galliformes; Phasianidae. The record is from RNAcentral.
GUGGGAAUGUGAGUAGUGACUGUUGAAGUUUCCGUGAUUCCACAGAUGGGAGGCCUAUGUGUUUAAAAUGAAGUAGAUUUUAUGCCCAGAGACACGGAACUUGGACCAUGAACUGUUUACCUUCAUGCAUGAUACUCACCUAUAACUUUUUUCCUUGGUAAUCAACUACUCACAUUAGUGAGACUGCACUAAGUUUGAAUGACAAGUUUUGUUUUUUUUUUUUCUUUUGUGAUCUUAUGAAGUUCUACAUGAGAUGAUAUGGUUUGCAGGAAUAGAUACUGUUCUUAAUUCUUGCUUCUUGUCUUCCAUAAAGGAAAAAGAAGCUAUCUUAAACUUCAUUGCAAAAUAAGUCCUAAGGGAAUGGGACUUUGCCUUUGUCAUAAAAUCUGCAUGUUAAUAGGUCAAAAGUCUCCUCCACUCUUUCACUACACCACUGUGGCUGGCAUUUUCAAUAGAACACAUGUGGAGGAAAAUAAGACACAAUUACUAAGAAAUUAACAGGUGAAAAUGGGAAAUUGAUUUGAACUGCAGUCAAACGUUGUUUGGUUUUGUAUCUUUCAUCUAAUAAUCAGUCUUUUGUGGUGGACUCCUGAAUCUUUCCCUUCAUAGGUUUACCAUCUGACUUACUUUAAUUUAAAGCAAUCUUCACAGAACCACAGAAUGGCAGAGUUUGGAGGGUUGCUCUGGAGGCUAUCUGGUCUAAUCCCCAUUUUGGCAGUGACACCCAGAGCAGACUGACUAAGACCUUGAAAUUAAGCAAUUAUUAAUGUAGUUGCUUUGUCUUAGGAUCUGCCAAUAGCUGUUUUCCAGUGUAAGGUCAAAAUGUCAGGCUAUCUAGUUCAUUCAGAACUAUGGGAAUGCAAAAUCUUCAAUUAGCUGUAUUCAAUUUGCUGUAUUGAAUGGAGUCUGUCAGAGGGACAUUCUCUAAACAUGUUACUGGAGCCUGUGCUUGGAACAUGCCAGCAAUAUCAACUCUUUUCUCAACAAUCCACUGGCUCAAGUGUUCUCUGAAUAGAGCUCAGACAUUCUCCAAACUAUUUUUCCUGCAAUUAUUCCAGUAAGUUUUGUGAUGAAACACUUUUGUUUGUUUGUUUGGCUAUGAAUGUUUCUUGGUUUUCCC